AGUCGCUUUGGAUAGAAGUGUGAAAUAAAUGAAAGUAGGAUCACACUUUACAUACAUGUAUAUUAUGUGGUAGGAAAAAGAGAGCAAUGACACUGAUACUUGGUCUCACGUUACAGAAGCCUUUAAUGCAAUAUAUGCACACAGGUGAACCUCCUGGGGAGAGUCACACUGAGAACAAGCAGAAUACAGCUAUUUAUACACCGUGGGGUGGGGAUAGUAAAUUUCCACUAGUACAGCCGUUAGUUCAGCCUCCGUGGCUUGUUCCUCUUGUGGAGGUGUAGGUGGGUUAGUUCCUUCUAUCCCACGGCAGCAGUUUCUUCAUUUGGUGUUGCUAUCUUAUCUUUGCAGGUACAGUUGUAAUGUGUCCUAGCAAAUGCAGCCUUAUCACUCAUCGCAUUACAUAUUUUUGCAAGCAAUUAUUACAAUCCUUAAUUCAUAGUUGAAAGGCAAAUAAAGGGCCUCACAAAAAGUAGAAUGAACAAUUGAUGAAAUUUUUUCUCAUACUCCCCACUCUUGAGACUUUCUCAAACGUCUCACCAACACUAGCGGCCUAAAACCCCUUGGGCAAUUCAAUUAGGGCCUUCUCCCUGUCGCCCUCCUCUGGAAUCUGUUGAUAAUGGGUGUACAUUUUCAAGUUCAAAGGGGUGAUGGAGCUCAGUAAUACGUGUUUUAAGAAGGGAAAAACCACAGCAUAGUAACAGAAGAAAGAUAAACAAAAGUAUUCCAAACAUCAAGAGAGCUCGUAACCAAUCCGCCCACCCGGAGAAAAAGGAGCCGAACCAGGAUUUUUCAGCUCCAAAAUUGUGAAACUUCUUCCUUAUUUCAUUGAUGUGGUCAGCAAGAUAAUUAAUAUGUUCCGAGUGGUCAGGUAUGUACGUGCAACAUUCUUUACCUAUCACUGCACAUGUACCUCCUGAUGCUGCUAAGAGGUAAUCCAGAGCCAUGCGGUUCUGGAAAGCUUCAGUGCGUAGUACAACCAUUUCAGCAGAGAUGUCUUUAAGAGACUUGGCUGUACUGUUAGCUAUGUCUUCUAAGGCUCUAGCUAGAUAAAUAAGUUGUCUGGCUGCUUUCCCUAUGCCAUACAAGGGAAAUGCAAUCAUCCAGAAUCGUUUGUUUUCAGUGAUACCAAUACCAGCUAUGUAACACGUGAUGGUCCUUUUGACCCUCUGAGCAGAGCUAUCAGGAUGCCAUUGUGGUUGGGACCCUUUCGUGAGUGUUAUUUCAUUUGGUGAAAUUUCAGAGGAAUGACAGUUCAUCGAAUUUAUGACCCGAGAAGUUGUAUCCUGCUGUUUCCCACGAUGGCCUAGUAGAGGUUCCGGACAGAAGCUUAGUGAACGUGGGGUGUGGACAGAAGAACCUGAUGAGGGCCUCUCCACCAGGGCUGCUUCCAGUGUUUCUUUCACAGGUCACGGAUGAGAACCCAAUCGCCUGGGAGCAGCUCUAGCAUGUCUUCCCGGUUAAGGGUUCACUAGUUCUGUCGCACGUGCUGAUGCACCUCCUUCAGUGUUCGUUGGAGACCUGAAAGAUACGAGAGUAGAUCAUCAUCCACAGUUUCCAAUGAAACUCUUCCACUUGGCAUGGGGGCCGGCGUUGGUCUUCCUGUCAGAACCUAAAAACAGGACAGACCCAAUUGUCUGUGUGUUUUACCCCUCAUAGCCGUUAGAACUAUGGGUAGCACGUCCAGCCACCUGUUUCUUCGCGGACUUUUGCAAGUUUGACUUUCAGUCUGAUUCGCCCUUUCAACCACACCACCACUCUGGGGGAUGAUAUGAACAAUAAUACUUUAGGUGGCAUCCCAUUCAUUCGGAGAGCUGGUGCACAACUGAGUUUACGAAAUGUGCCCGGUUGUCACUUGUGAGCCAAGCUGGGACACCCCACCUAGGCAGUAUUUCUUUUAGCAGGCACUUUGCUACAGUGCGUGCUGCGGCCCUCACCUUGAGAAGAGAUCAACAAUAACUAGGCAGUAUCUGAAACUGCGCGACGGUUUGAGUUCAAUAAAAUCCAUUUUUAGAUGGUUUAAAGGA
This is a long non-coding RNA of Scleropages formosus (Asian bonytongue), 2024 nucleotides long. RefSeq lists it as uncharacterized. The transcript has 2 exons. NCBI's taxonomy places the organism in Eukaryota, Metazoa, Chordata, Actinopteri, Osteoglossiformes, Osteoglossidae. The record is from RefSeq and is a predicted model, not a curated record.